AAUAAUGUACAAUAGUUGAAUGAAUUCAACGAAAAUUGUUAUUUUUUUAUUUAGUUUUACGGACAGAAAAUGAAAAAGAUAAAUUAUUAGCCUUAUGAAAAAAAAAACAUCAAAAUUAUACAAUUAAAUUAGUUACUUAUAAUGAAUUACCAGCCAUUCGUAUUUUGAGGUCUAAGUAGAAAGAAUGAUCAAACCCAAAAUAUGUGGUGUGGCUUUAGAAUUAGAGUAUAAGCUUGGGAAACAAAGUUGGUUUGGU
Non-coding RNA from Arachis ipaensis, 256 nucleotides. The record is from RefSeq and is a predicted model, not a curated record. Lineage: Eukaryota; Viridiplantae; Streptophyta; Magnoliopsida; Fabales; Fabaceae.